This 439-nucleotide ribosomal RNA is filed under the name uncultured bacterium. RNAcentral's name for it is "partial 16S ribosomal RNA". It matches the Rfam family "Bacterial small subunit ribosomal RNA", at positions 339 to 795 of the family's 1533-position model. The record is from RNAcentral.
CUACGGGUUGCAGCAGUGAGGAAUAUUGCACAAUGGGGGGAACCCUGAUGCAGCAACGCCGCGUGGAGGAUGACGCAUUUCGGUGUGUAAACUCCUUUUAUAUGUCAAGAAAAUGACGGUAGCAUAUGAAUAAGCACCGGCUAACUCCGUGCCAGCAGCCGCGGUAAUACGGAGGGUGCAAGCGUUACUCGGAAUCACUGGGCGUAAAGGACGCGUAGGCGGGUUGGAAAGUCAGGUGUGAAAUCCUACAGCCUAACUGUAGAACUGCACUUGAAACUUCUAAUCUAGAGUAUGGGAGGGGGAGAUGGAAUUAGUGGUGUAGGGGUAAAAUCCGUAGACAUCACUAGGAAUACCUAAAGCGAAGGCGAUCUCCUGGAACAUUACUGACGCUAAGGCGUGAAAGCGUGGGGAGCAAACAGGAUUAGAUACCCGUGUAGUC